UGGGGAAUAUUGGGGCAAUGGGGCGAAAGCCUGACCCAGCAACGCCGCGUGAAGGAAGAAGGUCUUCGGAUUGUAAACUUCUUUUAUGAGGGACGAAGGACGUGACGGUACCUCAUGAAUAAGCCACGGCUAACUACGUGCCAGCAGCCGCGGUAAUACGUAGGUGGCAAGCGUUAUCCGGAUUUAUUGGGUGUAAAGGGUGAGUAGGCGGGCUGACAAGUCAGAUGUGAAAUGUUCGGGCUUAACCUGAGAACUGCAUUUGAAACUGCCAGUCUUGAGUGUCGGAGGGGUAAUCGGAAUUCCCGGUGUAGCGGUGAAAUGCGUAGAGAUCGGGAGGAACACCAGUGGCGAAGGCGGAUUACUGGACGACAACUGACGCUGAUACACGAAAGCGUGGGGAGCAAACAGGAUUAGAUACCCUGGUAGU
RNAcentral lists this ribosomal RNA (427 nucleotides) under uncultured Oscillospiraceae bacterium. RNAcentral describes it as "bacterial SSU rRNA". It matches the Rfam family "Bacterial small subunit ribosomal RNA", at positions 355 to 794 of the family's 1533-position model. Lineage: Bacteria; Bacillati; Bacillota; Clostridia; Eubacteriales; Oscillospiraceae. The record is from RNAcentral.